UACGUAGGGUGCGAGCGUUGUCCGGAAUUAUUGGGCGUAAAGCGCGCGUAGGCGGCUACUUAAGUCGGAUGUGAAAGCCCCUGGCUCAACUGGGGAAGUGCACCCGAAACUGAGUGGCUUGAGUGCGAAAGAGGGUCGCGGAAUUCCCGGUGUAGAGGUGAAAUUCGUAGAUAUCGGGAGGAACACCGGUGGCGAAGGCGGCGACCUGGGUCGACACUGACGCUGAGGCGCGAAAGCGUGGGGAGCAAACAGG
This 253-nucleotide ribosomal RNA is filed under the name uncultured bacterium. RNAcentral's name for it is "partial 16S ribosomal RNA". It matches the Rfam family "Bacterial small subunit ribosomal RNA", at positions 524 to 776 of the family's 1533-position model. The record is from RNAcentral.